GGGGGAUAACGCAGCGAAAAGUUGCGCUAAUACCGCAUACGAUCUAAGGAUGAAAGCAGGGGACCGCAAGGCCUUGUGCUCCUGGAGCGGCCGAUAUCUGAUUAGCUAGUUGGUGAGGUAAAGGCUCACCAAGGCCACGAUCAGUAGCUGGUCUGAGAGGACGACCAGCCACACUGGAACUGAGACACGGUCCAGACUCCUACGGGAGGCAGCAGUGGGGAAUUUUGGACAAUGGGCGCAAGCCUGAUCCAGCAAUGCCGCGUGAGUGAAGAAGGCCUUCGGGUUGUAAAGCUCUUUUGUCAGGGAAGAAACGGUAGAGGCUAAUAUCUUUUGCUAAUGACGGUACCUGAAGAAUAAGCACCGGCUAACUACGUGCCAGCAGCCGCGGUAAUACGUAGGGUGCAAGCGUUAAUCGGAAUUACUGGGCGUAAAGCGUGCGCAGGCGGUUUUGUAAGUCUGUCGUGAAAGCCCCGGGCUCAACCUGGGAAUUGCGAUGGAGACUGCAAGGCUUGAAUCUGGCAGAGGGGGGUAGAAUUCCACGUGUAGCAGUGAAAUGCGUAGAGAUGUGGAGGAACACCGAUGGCGAAGGCAGCCCCCUGGGUCAAGAUUGACGCUCAUGCACGAAAGCGUGGGGAGCAAACAGGAUUAGAUACCCUGGUAGUCCACGCCCUAAACGAUGUCUACUAGUUGUCGGGUUUUAAUUAACUUGGUAACGCAGCUAACGCGUGAAGUAGACCGCCUGGGGAGUACGGUCGCAAGAUUAAAACUCAAAGGAAUUGACGGGGACCCGCACAAGCGGUGGAUGAUGUGGAUUAAUUCGAUGCAACGCGAAAAACCUUACCUACCCUUGACAUGUCAGGAAGUCUUGAGAGAUCAGGAUGUGCCCGAAAGGGAACCUGAACACAGGUGCUGCAUGG
RNAcentral lists this ribosomal RNA (917 nucleotides) under Massilia sp. RNAcentral's name for it is "bacterial SSU rRNA". It matches the Rfam family "Bacterial small subunit ribosomal RNA", at positions 138 to 1048 of the family's 1533-position model. Lineage: Bacteria; Pseudomonadati; Pseudomonadota; Betaproteobacteria; Burkholderiales; Oxalobacteraceae. The record is from RNAcentral.